This 69-nucleotide transfer RNA is filed under the name Eysarcoris aeneus. Its description in RNAcentral is "tRNA-Leu". Lineage: Eukaryota; Metazoa; Arthropoda; Insecta; Hemiptera; Pentatomidae. The record is from RNAcentral.
UCUAAUAUGGCAGAUUAGUGCAAUGAAUUUAAGCUUCAUAUAUAAAGAUAUUUAAACCUUUUAUUAGAA